AUAAAUGCUCUAAGUUAUGAUAAGUAACGAUAUUCCCAACCCCCCAGAUUAAGGCUUAGUUUUUACUAAAUGCAUUUUUUAAGAAAUAUUUUUUCAAUUUCAGCCUGGAACUACUUUGGUUCCCACAAGCACUUUUAAACCCCAAACUGUGGUUGGACUGACCACUUAUUUUUCUGGCAAAGUAAAGGAGUUCUAUCUAAACCCAAAAACAUAACCACAUCACGUGGGUAAUUAGCACAACAUCAUCAUCAAAACCCAUACAAGCCUCAUAAAUCACUCCUCCGUAGUUUAACAGCCUUAACUCUGACAGGUAAAGUGAGCAGAACUUCGGGCAGAAGCCAGUUCAAAGCACUGACAUUUCAGCCGCUUCCCACUCAUGUGGGAAACUUUACUUAAUUCUACAUGCUCCAAGUACUGUUGGAGCACAUCACAUCGACUUCAUCACAGCGACUUCACUACCAAGCAACACUACAGUAUUCUAACGUGCAGAGAAUGCCCAUCUCUGUGAUCAUUCUGCAGUAUUGAGAUGGUCAACUCACAUUUCACAGAUACGUUGCUGACUCACCUAGACUGCAGCUUAAAGACAGCUUGCUAAAUAAUUUAUUAGAACUAAAAUUAACAGUUAUUUGCAUUUGUGAGGAGUUGCAGGCGCACAGCUCCCAGAAGCCUGCCAGCCAAGCAGGUAUCCCAGAGGACAGACCCAUUCACCAACUGCCAUGAAGAAACACCCUUGGUUGGUUUUUUUUUCCCCUUUGUAAUUUUUGGAAGCUUCUUUUUCCUGCAAUAUGAAAGCACACAUGACAAUAAAAGCACAAAGACCCAAAUUACCUGCUCAGUGUUUUCACAGUAAAUGCCUUCCACAAGCCUGUCACCCAGCACUACAAGCACUGCUCAGAUUAGCAAGUUUUUCUGAAGGCUUCAAAAUGAAAUCUCUGUUUACACUGAAGAAAAUACUGAAUUUAAUACAGUAAGGCUGUAUUGUAAGUUUCGACAAUACAGUGAAAAAUAUUUUUAGCUGACAGUUUUACAUCCGAGUUUCCCAGGGUGAUUAGUAUUGCCACAAGUUCAACAAAUACCUUCUGUUCAUUGUUCGCAUAGUGAAAACAGCUGCAAGAUCAACUGGAAUGACAUAGUUAUACAGCCACAGAUUUGGCAUUCAGUACUCCCGGAUGAAUCUGGCCCUAUUAACAAAAAGUACAAUUUUCAUGAUGGUACACCAACGCUGCUGAGUCACAAUGUGUGUUCGCUGGAAAUAGUUCAUCACAAUUGCACAACUGUCUCUGGAGAUCACUUGUAACUCUUGCCAGUUAGUUCACAGACAGAACUUGAAUAUAUAUUUUAGAAAGGAAACUCUGUGAAUCCCACCUUAAAAGACAGUGUAGCUAUCUAUAUAGACAAACCUGAGUUUCAGCGUCACGUACUCUAGGACUAAGGUCAAGUAUUCAUACUGCAGGUUCCCUGCAACAAUAAUUUCUUGCUGUGUGCCUACACAGUGCCAGAACGUAUGUUGCGACAUGACCAUCCCCGAGUACAGCCAGCAACUUCUAGAUGCUGCCCUAACACACCAUAAGUAUUUCUGGUACCUUGCUUUUCAACCUGCCCUCAGGUUGUAUUGUGUCAAAUGCAGGUCAGUGAGAACUGCUUCUUCCUCUCACAGCAAAGUUAAAUAAAAAAAGGGAGAGAAAAAAGCUCCAUUGUUUUUAGAGUCAUUUUAUGUGUAGCAUUCAAAGCAGAGAAAUAUCUAUAUACAGAUGAAAUAACUUUUUUCAUAAAUAACAUUGGUGGGGCUUGAUAAAAAUAUGAACAUUGCUUGCUGCAGUUUUAACUCGCACUACUCAGUCAAGAUCUAUCAUAUCAGGCAGUGGUGUGCAAACUACUUAGCUAUUUAAUUAAUCUGAUGUACAGUGAAAACUUUCAACUUACAGGCUUCUUCACAGUUUUUUGCCUCAUACAGAUUCUUCCACGGUACAACACUCCAGCAUGCAAAGAUUUAUGCGGUAGUAUAUUUUAGCCACCUAUGCCAACUUCUAUAGUAAAUCUGCAGUGAAUCUGCAUAUGCAUGAAGUGUUACAUACCUGGGAUAGCUCCAUCCACAGAUUUCCUACAGCUGAAGAACCAGAAGUUACACCUGCAGAACUUGAAAGAAAAUGUAAAAUGAGGCAAAUUUAUUGUCACUGUGAUUAUCAAGCUCCUGGAUUACUGAAACUAAUAUACGACAAUAGAGGAUGGUUUGAUUGCACAGUCAAGCUGCUUGAUAAAGACUAUUUUCUAUAGUUCAGCUCAGCGCUACCAGCUUUUGGCUUCAGAGAAACUACACUAAAUUUCUGCUUCCUAUAAGAACCUCCUUGUGAAGCUAACAAGUGUUCAAAGUUCCUGAAUACAGCAUUGACCGAUAUCAUCAUGAGCUCAAAUAUGGACUUUUGCAUCUAAAACACCUUAGAAGGCAACACUGUUCUAACAGCCCUUGCUACAUGACAGCCUGAUGCCAGUUGCUUGGGAUUUUUGUGAUUAGCGCUCUACAUUUGUGAUCUGCAUCCAAGUGGAAGGAAUAAAGACAACAGAACACAGCUGAAUCCAACAGUAGUUUAUUACACACUCUUGGCAGAUGAAGUUAGACACUUCAGUUACCAGUAAAUAUGAAUUUAAAUAUUAGUCGACAACUGCAGAAAGUGUACAAGUACAAAAAUAUCAUUAACAAUAACCAAAGGUUCUGACAUUAACUUCUAAACAGCAGUUCUAUACAUCAACCGUUACACGAUCCUCAACCUAAAUCAGGGCUUGCACUUGAAAGCACUUUUUGUUCUGUUUAAAAUAAAAGCUCUCCAAAAGGUGGGGAGAGUGGGGGGUACAGCCACAUCAGUUCUCAAAGUACUGUCAACAUAUACCCUUGCCUAACGUGGAGAAAUCUGUGUUCUAUUUUUUGGAUACUCGCUUUUAUUGGGGAAUACAGUAACAAAAAUAUAUGCAUAGAAUUUUAAAAGCUAAACUCCAAUAUGCACAAUAUUUUUAAUAUAUAUUUAUAUAUAUAUAGUAUUACAGAUGUCAUAUAAAUCAAGUAUAGGCCAAAUUUUGGCCCAAUUUUAAGUGCAUUUAGUUUAUUAUAAAAUCCCCUUCAGCCUCUGCUCUUACUUUACAAACUAUUAGCUACCGAAUUAUCUUUUUCAGUGCUGGUUUUAUAAACACCCCUGUUGUAAAUCCUCAUUUCCAUUUCAGGAGUAGCAGCCUUGACUUCCACUAGACUUUCUAACAAAAUAAAGUUCUCAAAAAAAAAACCCCAACCUCAGCGACUAACUCAGUCACAUAGUUUAGUCUGAAUUGCAAGGGCUUCUAACUUAAAUUUACAUUAAUAUUUUCAAGGUAGCAUUCUCCUUUGCACCCUUUGCACUCUUUGAUCUUAAUUAUAUCCUGCAAGCACGCACUUACUACUUUGCUUCAUUUUGUUAAAUGGACUCUUAGCAAUAUGCAAAUUAUUUCAGGUGCAGAACUAAGUGCAAAAACCAUUUUCUAAUGCAUAAUUAACUAGCUUAAAACUCAGCAUCUGAUAUGAGCAUUUUAGACAAUACUUAAAGAGUAAUACCCUCGCUGCCAUGAUACCUCAUUUUGUUUCCAAAUUAAGUUUUGUUCGCCCUUGUUUCACAAAGCAACAUAGGAGGAACAACAAUAGUGACCCAGUUAUCUAUCAAUCCGAUGCAUAUGGUAUUUACAGUAUGUUUUAAAUACGUUCGUAUAUUGGCUGGAACAAAACACACUUAAGCUUUCUACCAGAGUAGGGGGGGAAAAAUGUCUUUAUUUUAAAGGUAACAGAGCACAGGACCUGGCUGCCCAGAGAGGUGCUGGCAUCUCCUUCUUUGGACAUACUUAGAACCCACCUGAACGCUCUCCUGUGCGGCCCACUGUCAGGAACCUGCAUUAGGAAGGGCUGGACUACAUGAUCUCCAGAGGUCCCAUCCAAUUCCUACAACUCUGUGACUCUGUCAAAGAUGUGGCAUUAAAUUAUUCAAUGCAGCUUCCUGCCACAAACAAGUCAAAGGCUCCUCGAGGUCAUUUGUGGAAUAUAGCAGUAAAUUGUAUGACCUAGAAAUACUCUACAUCUUAAAACAAAGGUAAUUAUGGAAAGUUGAGUCUCAGUAACCAAGACUCAGUAACCAGUUCUCCUGCCAUUAUCUCAGCUACUGACAGCAUUCUGGACCUCAUCACUCAGCACUACUAUGGUACAGAGGAAAAAAUAUUAAUUAACUGCUGCCAAUGUACAACCAGUUCCAGCUACUAUGAAACAAACUUUCAAGGUAAGCCCUUUAAAAGUCUUGUAAAAACUGGGCUAAGAGAUCUUAAGAACAGUCUCCCAGAUCUCAAGAGCAAGGAUAUGACAUGUACACCUUAGAAGGUAAGUCACCUAACACACACUAAUUAUUGGAUGCAUUCAGUGUUCAUUCUCAAUGAAAUACAUAUGGAACCGGGUGCAGAAAUCCCAACAACAUUAAUAGGAGCAAGGCAGCAAUGGCCCCUCAUACAACUGAAUUGUUAAACAUCUUAUAUUGCAUGUGAAUCUCCCUUUUGUAUUGAGAAAGCAAAUACUGAAAUAGAGACAACUUUUAACACAACAGAUGUAUUUACAAACAGCAUGCAAGGCCUGUUUCAUGUAUUUGAGCAGCUAAAACAGCCACUGACAGCCCUUAAGUAUUUACAAGUUCAAAACAAUCCUCACAUAAGGAGAAAUACAAGAAGUUCAGGACACUCCUUGGGAAACAAACAAGAAAUGUGUAAAAAACACCAACGAAAGCAAUAAUAAAAUCUAGUAGCAGAGGAAAACGUCAGCUUUUAAAAUCUGGACUAUUUAACACUGUUCUGGUAAGAAGCAAACAAAACCACACAUCACAUUCAAAGAUGCCAUUCAUAAAGAAGUACAUCUUCUUGGUAUCAGGUUGGUUGCUUUGUUUUUAAUUUUCCCUCCAGAAGAAAAGCUGUACCUAAGCUUAAGAAAGAAGUUUCUAAGCGAACAACAUACAACUCCCUUUGGUUUGCCAAUUUACCUUUAUUUCUCAUUUUUAUUUAAAUUUGCAAGGUAAGUAGUAAGGCAAUGUGACCAGAUGCUGAAGAGCCCUGUGGGUGAUUCCAUACAAUAAAGAUGCUUCAGCUGUGGUUCACAGAACGGGAAGCAAAAAUAAGAGCCUUAUGGUAAACAAGAAACAUUUUUCAUAAGGAAAGGUUCUAUAACCUGCAUAUGUGUUGCACUGUGGGUCAGUCCCAUUUGAGGGUCAGCUC
This is a long non-coding RNA of Gallus gallus (chicken), 5262 nucleotides long. RefSeq lists it as uncharacterized. The record is from RefSeq and is a predicted model, not a curated record. NCBI's taxonomy places the organism in Eukaryota, Metazoa, Chordata, Aves, Galliformes, Phasianidae. The transcript has 4 exons.